CAGCUAAAACCUUGCAGACUACUACUGUCUACAGCCACUGAAUGCUGAGAAGCGCUGCUGCUCCCAGACCCCAGAAGGCCUCUCUGGCACAGUGACCUGGACGGGACGCCAUGACACCCACCCAGAUGAGAAACCUCUCGGCCAUCCCUCUGAGUGCCAGGCCAACUGCAAAAAGGAACAGGCCACCUCUGGCCACUUUUCUCUUUGCCGGUCAGAAUGGAGUGCCUGCCCCCUCUCUGUUCUCUAGUAACUGACGCUGCUCAACUGGCACUGAUGGCACCUGGGUACCCUGGCAAGAGUCAGCAUGGACUAGGUCCUGGAAGGACUGGUCUGCGGGGCAGGUAUCAAAAGCUCAGACACGGCAGGGUCAGGAUAAGGACGCCCUUCCUAGAACCUGGGUAAAGGCAAGGACUGUAUUUCAGAGAACAGGAAAGGGAUUUGUUACUAGAACUAGACAUCCGAGAUCAAGGUGACACGAUGAAAAUAGUCAUGACAAUUGCUUGGGGCUCCUGAGCUCCCCCUGGCUAAGAACAGGAUUUUUCCCAGCACCUGGGGAGGCAGAAAGCCCGCAGACACCACUGACAGAUCCUCCCCUGAGUAAACGACCUAAAGGAAUUCAAACCCAAGGCCUCCUGACUCCAAAGCCUGCUGUAAAUUGUGAAUUGUGUCUCUCACCUACAUGUUCAAGCUCUCAGCCCUGGUACCGUGAGUGUGAUCUUAUCUGGAAAUAGAGUCUUUGUAGAUCUAAUGAAGAUAUAAAUGAAGACGAGGUCAGACUGGACAAGGGCGGCCCUAAUGCAAUGGUGUCCUUAUAAGAGGAGACACAGACACACGCAGGAGGAGGACAGCCAUGUGAAGACAGACAGAAAGUGGAGCGAUGCAGCUCAAAGCCAAGGACGCCAUGGACUGCUGGCCCACACCAGAUGCCAGCAAGAGGCUAGGAAGGGUUCUUCUCCAGAGCCUCCAGAGGAUCACGGCUCUGCCAAGCCUUGACCUCAGACUUCCAGCCUCCAGACUUGGGAGGGAGUACAUUUCUGCUGUUUGACGGGACGCAAUUUGUAAUAAUUCGUUACAACAGCCCUAGGAAACUAACACCCCUCCCUCUUGAGAGGUGACAAGAAAUCUCAGGGAAUCCACCACUCAGCCACUAUUUGGUUUCAGUGCAAGUCACUAAACUUUCUAAACAUCAGUUCAAUUCAGCUGGACAAGCCUUUAGCAACUGCAUGCUUAGUGCCUGACACGGCACGUUACGUGUUUGCAGGCUUUUCACAAAGGUGGAGAAAACAGCCCAGCCAGCUCCUGACCCUGUAGAGCUUUCAGUCUAGAGAGAAAAAGGCUGGAGGUUAAAGAAGAAGUUAUCAGAGAUAGAAUGACUUCACGCCCUUCCAGUGUUCAUGCUGGGUCAUUGUGUAUCAGGCCGGCCCAAGGAUUGUUUGAUUCCUUAAAGAAGGUAUCUUUCUUUGUCUUUCCUGUUUGCUAUGUGAUUAUAGCCCCCAAAUCAUGAAGUUAAAUAUUAAUAUGUAGAUUUCUAUCCAGUAGAAAAAAAUCAAACCAAAGCUUAUAAUUUUAUUGUCUGUAGGACAUUAGUAGUCAUUUUUUCUAAUAAUAAAAUUUCUUAAAAAUUGAGAUAUAGUUGACAUAUAACAUGUUGUAAGUUUAGGGUGUACAACAUAUUGAUUUGAUAAACUUCUAUUGCAAUAAUGAUUGCCAUUGUAGCAUUAGCUAACGCCUGUGUCACGUCACAUAACUAUCAUUCCUUCUAGUGGUGGGAACAAUUCAG
Long non-coding RNA from Equus caballus (horse), 1780 nucleotides. NCBI's taxonomy places the organism in Eukaryota, Metazoa, Chordata, Mammalia, Perissodactyla, Equidae. The record is from Ensembl.